CAGCCGCCGCGGUAAUACGUAGGGUGCAAGCGUUAAUCGGAAUUACUGGGCGUAAAGCGUGCGCAGGCGGUUUGUUAAGACAGAUGUGAAAUCCCCGGGCUCAACCUGGGAACUGCAUUUGUGACUGGCAAGCUAGAGUGUGGCAGAGGGGGGUGGAAUUCCGCGUGUAGCAGUGAAAUGCGUAGAUAUGCGGAGGAACACCGAUGGCGGAGGCAGCCCCCUGGGCCAACACUGACGCUCAUGCACGAAAGCGUGGGGAGCAAACAGGAUUAGAUACCCGAGUAGUCCCUGUCUCUUAUAU
RNAcentral lists this ribosomal RNA (301 nucleotides) under uncultured bacterium. RNAcentral's name for it is "partial 16S ribosomal RNA". It matches the Rfam family "Bacterial small subunit ribosomal RNA", at positions 509 to 809 of the family's 1533-position model. The record is from RNAcentral.